This 1105-nucleotide ribosomal RNA is filed under the name Terebratalia transversa. RNAcentral's name for it is "large subunit ribosomal RNA". It matches the Rfam family "Bacterial large subunit ribosomal RNA", at positions 563 to 2745 of the family's 2925-position model. Lineage: Eukaryota; Metazoa; Brachiopoda; Rhynchonellata; Terebratulida; Laqueidae. The record is from RNAcentral.
GUCUUAUAUGUGGGUAGGUUGGGAAAUUUUUUUUUAAAGGUAAAAAGUAUUGGUUGGUCCAGUUACCUUGUGUAUUAUGGUUUCGUAAGUAGAAUCCAAGUAUUAGGGGUUCCCGAAAUUUCUUGAGCUUCCACCGUGUUGUUAGGAACUGCUUUUCUUAUGGGAAAAAUGAGAAUUAAAUAUUGUGGAAGGAGUUAUAUUCUUGUCAAAGGAAAAGAUAUCUGGUUGUUGGGGAAUAAAGAAUAAUGCUUUGUUUUAAAGGUUAGAAUUAUAGGGAUUAGCUUGUAGUUGAGGUUCUAGAUUUUUAUUUGAGUUCAGUUUCGGAGGCUUAAGAGCAGCUUUUACGUUAUUGUAGGGCUAAAUGUGAUAAAAAGAAUCUGUUCAUACACCCAGCUUAGGAGCAAAUUUAUUACGCUUUUGUAAAAAUGCAGAGAAUUAGUAUAUUUGAUUUAAUAAUAUUUAGAGAAUUACACAUAGAAAAAGGAACUCGGCAAAUAUGCUUUCGCCUGUUUAUCAAAAACAUCGCCUUUUGUUUGUCAUAGAAGGUCUAACCUGCCCGGUGCAUUAUGUAAACGGCUGCGGUAGCUUGACUGUACAAAGGUAGCAUAAUCAUUAGCCUAUUAAUUGUAGGAUGGAAUGAAGGGUAAAACGGGGGUAUACUGUCUCUUUCUAUUUUUUAGAAAUUAAUUUUUAAGUGAAAAAGCUUGGAUUUAAGCGAAGGACAAAAAGACCCUGGGAGCUUAAUAUUAACUCCCUUAUGGGGGCUAUUAAUUUGUUGGGGCAACAGAGGAUACUAACAUCCUUUAUUUUAGUGUCGGAGCUACUGUUUUGCAAUUAUUAGCUCCCCCAGGGAUAACAGCGUUAUUCCCCUUAGAGACCUUAUCGAAGGGGGGGAUUGCGACCUCGAUGUUGGACUAGAGAACCCGCCAACCGCAGAAGGCUGGUUGGUAGGUCUGUUCGACCUUUAAAUCUCUACACGAUCUGAGUUAAGACCGGCGGGAGCCAGGUUGGUUUCUAUCCUCGUCUUAUUUAUUUUUCAGGUUAGUACGAAAGGAUUUCCUGUGACAAGAAUCUUGUAUAUUUGAAGUUAUAUAACUGUUUAUUU